RNAcentral lists this ribosomal RNA (109 nucleotides) under bacterium. The record is from RNAcentral.
ACCGGUGCUUAGAUCCAGGGGGUCACACCCGUUCCCAUUCCGAACACGGCCGUUAAGACCCUGGAACCGAUGGUAGUGCUCAACCGUGCGAGAGUAGGUAGUGCCGGUU